AGACCCGAAACCCGGUGAUCUAGCCAUGGGCAGGUUGAAGGUUGGGUAACACUAACUGGAGGACCGAACCGACUAAUGUUGAAAAAUUAGCGGAUGACCUGUGGCUGGGGGUGAAAGGCCAAUCAAACCGGGAGAUAGCUGGUUCUCCCCGAAAGCUAUUUAGGUAGCGCCUCGUGAAUUCAUCUCCGGGGGUAGAGCACUGUUUCGGCUAGGGGGCCAUCCCGGCUUACCAACCCGAUGCAAACUGCGAAUACCGGAGAAUGUUAUCACGGGAGACACACGGCGGGUGCUAACGUCCGUCGUGAAGAGGGAAACAACCCAGACCGCCAGCUAAGGUCCCAAAGUCAUGGUUAAGUGGGAAACGAUGUGGGAAGGCCCAGACAGCCAGGAUGUUGGCUUAGAAGCAGCCAUCAUUUAAAGAAAGCGUAAUAGCUCACUGGUCGAGUCGGCCUGCGCGGAAGAUGUAACGGGGCUAAACCAUGCACCGAAGCUGCGGCAGCGAACGUAUCACCCAAGACAACUUUACGGAGUUGACGAUUGACGGAGCGAAGCGACGUCAAAGCGUUCAUUAAAGUCGAGUUGGCUUAGGGAUACGUUCGUUGGGUAGGGGAGCGUUCUGUAAGCCUGUGAAGGUGUGUCGUGAGGCAUGCUGGAGGUAUCAGAAGUGCGAAUGCUGACAUAAGUAACGAUAAAGCGGGUGAAAAGCCCGCUCGCCGGAAGACCAAGGGUUCCUGUCCAACGUUAAUCGGGGCAGGGUGAGUCGACCCCUAAGGCGAGGCCGAAAGGCGUAGUCGAUGGGAAACGGGUUAAUAUUCCCGUACUUGGUGUUACUGCGAAGGGGGGACGGAGAAGGCUAUGUUGGCCGGGCGACGGUUGUCCCGGUUUAAGCGUGUAGGUGUGUGUUCCAGGUAAAUCCGGUUCACUUUAACACUGAGGCGUGACGACGAGGCACUACGGUGCUGAAGCAACAAAUGCCCUGCUUCCAGGAAAAGCCUCUAAGCAUCAGGUAACAUCAAAUCGUACCCCAAACCGACACAGGUGGUCAGGUAGAGAAUACCAAGGCGCUUGAGAGAACUCGGGUGAAGGAACUAGGCAAAAUGGUGCCGUAACUUCGGGAGAAGGCACGCUGACACGUAGGUGAAGUGAUUUACUCAUGGAGCUGAAGUCAGUCGAAGAUACCAGCUGGCUGCAACUGUUUAUUAAAAACACAGCACUGUGCAAACACGAAAGUGGACGUAUACGGUGUGACGCCUGCCCGGUGCCGGAAGGUUAAUUGAUGGGGUCAGCGCAAGCGAAGCUCCUGAUCGAAGCCCCGGUAAACGGCGGCCGUAACUAUAACGGUCCUAAGGUAGCGAAAUUCCUUGUCGGGUAAGUUCCGACCUGCACGAAUGGCGUAAUGAUGGCCAGGCUGUCUCCACCCGAGACUCAGUGAAAUUGAACUCGCUGUGAAGAUGCAGUGUACCCGCGGCAAGACGGAAAGACCCCGUGAACCUUUACUAUAGCUUGACACUGAACAUUGAGCCUUGAUGUGUAGGAUAGGUGGGAGGCUUUGAAGUGUGGACGCCAGUCUGCAUGGAGCCGACCUUGAAAUACCACCCUUUAAUGUUUGAUGUUCUAACGUGGACCCGUAAUCCGGGUUGCGGACAGUGUCUGGUGGGUAGUUUGACUGGGGCGGUCUCCUCCUAAAGAGUAACGGAGGAGCACGAAGGUUGGCUAAUCCUGGUCGGACAUCAGGAGGUUAGUGCAAUGGCAUAAGCCAGCUUGACUGCGAGCGUGACGGCGCGAGCAGGUGCGAAAGCAGGUCAUAGUGAUCCGGUGGUUCUGAAUGGAAGGGCCAUCGCUCAACGGAUAAAAGGUACUCCGGGGAUAACAGGCUGAUACCGCCCAAGAGUUCAUAUCGACGGCGGUGUUUGGCACCUCGAUGUCGGCUCAUCACAUCCUGGGGCUGAAGUAGGUCCCAAGGGUAUGGCUGUUCGCCAUUUAAAGUGGUACGCGAGCUGGGUUUAGAACGUCGUGAGACAGUUCGGUCCCUAUCUGCCGUGGGCGCUGGAGAACUGAGGGGGGCUGCUCCUAGUACGAGAGGACCGGAGUGGACGCAUCACUGGUGUUCGGGUUGUCAUGCCAAUGGCACUGCCCGGUAGCUAAAUGCGGAAGAGAUAAGUGCUGAAAGCAUCUAAGCACGAAACUUGCCCCGAGAUGAGUUCUCCC
Molecule: ribosomal RNA, 2208 nt
Filed under: Salmonella enterica
Lineage: Bacteria; Pseudomonadati; Pseudomonadota; Gammaproteobacteria; Enterobacterales; Enterobacteriaceae
Description: partial 23S ribosomal RNA
Rfam family: Bacterial large subunit ribosomal RNA
Source: RNAcentral